RNAcentral lists this ribosomal RNA (483 nucleotides) under uncultured bacterium. RNAcentral describes it as "partial 16S ribosomal RNA". It matches the Rfam family "Bacterial small subunit ribosomal RNA", at positions 30 to 507 of the family's 1533-position model. The record is from RNAcentral.
UUGAACGCUGGCGGCAGGCCUAACACAUGCAAGUCGAGCGGAUGAAGGGAGCUUGCUCCUGGAUUCAGCGGCGGACGGGUGAGUAAUGCCUAGGAAUCUGCCUGGUAGUGGGGGAUAACGUCCGGAAACGGGCGCUAAUACCGCAUACGUCCUGAGGGAGAAAGUGGGGGAUCUUCGGACCUCACGCUAUCAGAUGAGCCUAGGUCGGAUUAGCUAGUUGGUGGGGUAAAGGCCUACCAAGGCGACGAUCCGUAACUGGUCUGAGAGGAUGAUCAGUCACACUGGAACUGAGACACGGUCCAGACUCCUACGGGAGGCAGCAGUGGGGAAUAUUGGACAGUGGGCGAAAGCCUGAUCCAGCCAUGCCGCGUGUGUGAAGAAGGUCUUCGGAUUGUAAAGCACUUUAAGUUGGGAGGAAGGGCAGUAAGUUAAUACCUUGCUGUUUUGACGUUACCAACAGAAUAAGCACCGGCUAACUUCGUG